GUGGGUAUAGCUCAGUAGAAGAGUGCAUGCCUAGCAUGCAGGAAGUCCUGGGUUCAAUCCCCAGUACCUCCA
Camelus ferus (Wild Bactrian camel) is the source of this 72-nucleotide transfer RNA. It matches the Rfam family "tRNA". From Rfam's summary of the family: Transfer RNA (tRNA) molecules are approximately 80 nucleotides in length. Their secondary structure includes four short double-helical elements and three loops (D, anti-codon, and T loops). NCBI's taxonomy places the organism in Eukaryota, Metazoa, Chordata, Mammalia, Artiodactyla, Camelidae. The record is from Rfam.